This is a long non-coding RNA of Arabidopsis thaliana (thale cress), 384 nucleotides long. RefSeq annotates it as other RNA. Lineage: Eukaryota; Viridiplantae; Streptophyta; Magnoliopsida; Brassicales; Brassicaceae. The transcript has a single exon. The record is from RefSeq.
UCCCACCAGCCAAUAAGCCCUAGCCACGAUCCCAUGUAUUUUGAUAAUUUCAAGUCUUUUAUCUUUAUGUGGAACAUUACUCUCGUUUUAGUAUCACAUGCAAUUUAAACUAGUCGCAAAUAAUAUUCUUGCGUUAAAAAUUAGAAGAUCGGUGAUUGUUGGGUUUCGGAUCACAAGGUGAAAAGGGAGAUAAGGGUAUUGUCAAAUUUAAUUGAAACUAUAGUUACACUACUUUUGUAAAACAUGUAUGUGGAGGGAUGGAUACACAUGUGUGUAUAUAUCACGUAAUUAUUUUUUUAUUUUUCCAUCUCACAUAUUUGCAAAGCAUGUAUAUUUGUAAAUGAUGCUACAAUAUUUAUGGUUUGUGGUAGUUGUUUCUUCUCA